UACAGAGGUCCCAAGCGUUGUUCGGAUUCACUGGGCGUAAAGGGUGCGUAGGUGGUUAGGUAAGUCCGAUGUGAAAUCUCCAGGCUCAACCUGGAAAUGGCAUUGGAUACUAUUUAGCUUGAGGAGUGGAGGGGGGACUGGAAUUCUCGGUGUAGCAGUGAAAUGCGUAGAUAUCGAGAGGAACACCAGUGGCGAAGGCGAGUCCCUGGACACUUCCUGACACUGAGGCACGAAAGCUAGGGGAGCAAACAGG
RNAcentral lists this ribosomal RNA (253 nucleotides) under uncultured bacterium. RNAcentral's name for it is "partial 16S ribosomal RNA". It matches the Rfam family "Bacterial small subunit ribosomal RNA", at positions 524 to 776 of the family's 1533-position model. The record is from RNAcentral.